This 406-nucleotide ribosomal RNA is filed under the name uncultured bacterium. RNAcentral describes it as "partial 16S ribosomal RNA". It matches the Rfam family "Bacterial small subunit ribosomal RNA", at positions 30 to 526 of the family's 1533-position model. The record is from RNAcentral.
AUUGAACGCUGGCGGCAGGCCUAACACAUGCAAGUCGAACGAGUGGCGGACGGGUGAGUAAUGUCUGGGAAACUGCCUGAUGGAGGGGGAUAACUACUGGAAACGGUAGCUAAUACCGCAUACCAUCAGAUGUGCCCAGAUGGGCGUGGCUUGUUGGUGGUGUAACGGCUCACCAUGGCGACGAUCCCUAGCUGGUCGGAGAGGAUGACCGUCCACACUGGGACUGAGACACGGUCCAGACUCCUACGGGAGGCAGCAGUGGGGAAUUUUGCACAAUGGGCGCAAGCCUGAUGCAGCCAGGCCGCGUGGAUGAAGAAGGCCUUCGGGGUGUAAAGUACUUUCAGCGGGGAGGCGUUACCCGCAGAAGAAGCACCGGCUAACUCCGUGCCAGCAGCCGCGGUAAUUC